This 600-nucleotide ribosomal RNA is filed under the name uncultured bacterium. RNAcentral's name for it is "bacterial SSU rRNA". It matches the Rfam family "Bacterial small subunit ribosomal RNA", at positions 62 to 650 of the family's 1533-position model. The record is from RNAcentral.
CCGAGUGCUUGCACUCAAUUGGAAAGAGGAGUGGCGGACGGGUGAGUAACACGUGGGUAACCUACCCAUCAGAGGGGGAUAACACUUGGAAACAGGUGCUAAUACCGCAUAACAGUUUAUGCCGCAUGGCAUAAGAGUGAAAGGCGCUUUCGGGUGUCGCUGAUGGAUGGACCCGCGGUGCAUUAGCUAGUUGGUGAGGUAACGGCUCACCAAGGCCACGAUGCAUAGCCGACCUGAGAGGGUGAUCGGCCACACUGGGACUGAGACACGGCCCAGACUCCUACGGGAGGCAGCAGUAGGGAAUCUUCGGCAAUGGACGAAAGUCUGACCGAGCAACGCCGCGUGAGUGAAGAAGGUUUUCGGAUCGUAAAACUCUGUUGUUAGAGAAGAACAAGGACGUUAGUAACUGAACGUCCCCUGACGGUAUCUAACCAGAAAGCCACGGCUAACUACGUGCCAGCGAGCCGCGGUAAUACGUAGGUGGCAAGCGUUGUCCGGAUUUAUUGGGCGUAAAGCGAGCGCAGGCGGUUUCUUAAGUCUGAUGUGAAAGCCCCCGGCUCAACCGGGGAGGGUCAUUGGAAACUGGGAGACUUGAGUGCA